RNAcentral lists this ribosomal RNA (160 nucleotides) under Aeromonas salmonicida. RNAcentral describes it as "partial 23S ribosomal RNA". It matches the Rfam family "Bacterial large subunit ribosomal RNA", at positions 2771 to 2925 of the family's 2925-position model. The record is from RNAcentral. RNAcentral also lists the same sequence under 2 other names. Lineage: Bacteria; Pseudomonadati; Pseudomonadota; Gammaproteobacteria; Aeromonadales; Aeromonadaceae.
CUGAAAGCAUCUAAGCGGGAAGCGAGCCCUGAGAUGAGUCAUCCCUGACCCCUUGAGGGUCCUAAAGGGCCGUUGGAGACCACAACGUUGAUAGGUGGGGUGUGUAAGCGCGGCGACGUGUUGAGCUAACCCAUACUAAUUACCCGUGAGGCUUAACCAU